RNAcentral lists this ribosomal RNA (468 nucleotides) under uncultured bacterium. RNAcentral's name for it is "partial 16S ribosomal RNA". It matches the Rfam family "Bacterial small subunit ribosomal RNA", at positions 28 to 507 of the family's 1533-position model. The record is from RNAcentral.
GACGAACGCUGGCGGCGUGCUUAACACAUGCAAGUCGAACGGAAAGGCCCUGCUUUUGUUGGGUGCUCGAUUGGCGAACGCGUGAGUAACACGUGAGUAACCUGCCCCUGACUUUGGGAGAACUUCAGGGAACUGGGGCUAAUACCGGAUAGGAUCUUCUGCUGCAUGGGGGGGGUUGGAAAGUUUGGGCGGUUGGGGAUGGACUCGCAGCUUAUCAGCUGGUUGGGGUGGUAGUGGCUUACCAAGGGUUCGACGGGUAGCCGGCCUGAGAGGGUGACCGGCCACAUUAGGACUGAGGGACGGAGCAGACUCCUACGGGCGGCAGCAGUGGAGAAUAUGGCACAAUGGGCGGACGCCUGAUGUAGAAACGUCGCGUGCGGGAUGCCGGCUUUCGGGUUGUGAACCGCUUUCGCCUGUGACGAAGCGUGAGUGACGGUAAUGGGUAAAGAAGCAACGGCUAACUACGUG